This is a long non-coding RNA of Marmota monax (woodchuck), 6508 nucleotides long. RefSeq lists it as uncharacterized. The record is from RefSeq and is a predicted model, not a curated record. The transcript is spliced from 3 exons. Lineage: Eukaryota; Metazoa; Chordata; Mammalia; Rodentia; Sciuridae.
ACCCCUCGGAGGGAUCCUUUGCUCCUGGUCUCCUUGAGCCGCAUGCCAUUCUGCAGAGAGGGGUGCAGGCUGCAGCUGCACCGUCAGGUUGGAAGGGAGCGAUGGCCCACACGCACCUCACUUCCUUAAUUCCCCAGCAGAAAACCUGAAGAAGGGGUCCAGUGCCGAGCAGUCCUGAUGCGGUCACACACACCCAAGACCACCAACACGGAAGGGCGGGCCGGACAAGCGUCCUGUGCCACGCGCUGCUCCUGAGAGCUCCGGUCUGCCCAGCAGCCACGGCACAGCCAGCGUCCCCUCCCGUCUGUCCCACAGAUGGUGCCCGAGCGCCUGGUGGCACCCCUGGCACCAUUCUGAGCUCUGGGGACGGGGGCCAGCAGUUGGUGACAUUUUGUCCGGGGAGAUGAGCACUAAGCAGGACAGACAAGACAGCGUGCUCUUAGAGGUGGUGGAGGUCUGAGGAAGGAAUGCGGGAGGGUGUGGUGUUAGAGGAAGACCCCGAGAGCUGCGAGCUGGCAGCGUGGGCUGAGGUCCAGUGCCAGCCUCUCCCCAGCUCCGGGUAAUGCCAGGUGGGUCGAGCAUGACCUUGGGGGCGCUACCCCAGGGAACCUGGAAAGCUCUACAGCUCAGGACCACCUCCCCUGCCCAGGCGCCCCACCCACCCCAAGGCCACCACAGGAGACCAGGAGAUGUGGUCGGAGAGGAGUCAGGCCCCAUCAUGUGGCCUCUGAAGGCCACUGGUGAAGGGGGUGAUGGCUCCCCUGAUGUCCACGUCCUGAUCCAGAGAACCUGUGAUUAUUUCUCCUUGAAUGGCAAACAGAUGCUUAAGUGAGGGUCCCAGGAAUAUUCCAGGCUAUCUGGGGGGGUCAGUGUUGUCACAGGGUCCUUAUGAGUGGAGGAAGGACAGGACAGUGGAAAGGCGGGGGUCGAGCACCAAGGACUGUGGACAGCCCCAGGAAGAUGGAAAGGGCGAGGAAGUAGAUGCCCCCUUCAGCCUGCGGAGGAGCCACCAUCCUGCCUGGAACCUGAAUUCCGUUGCGGGUUACCCACGUGGAACCUCUGACAGCCGAAUGGUUGCACAAAAUUGGGACGUGUUGAGAAGGCCGGCGAGGACAGAGGAAUCACUCAGAGGGCCCAGAAUAUGGACAAGAAAUCCAUUAGGACUGAUGUGUUGACCACAGGGGGUUUAGCCAGAGGGCGUUAAUCCAAAACAUCGGAAUUCAAUGGGCAGGAAGGGCCAGCAAUGGGGAGAUGCUAGAAAGGCCCGGUGGGUAACUGAGUUCGCAAGUUAGUUAGAAUUCUACCGCACAGUUCUGCAGAAAACGGUCCGGUGUGAGUCUAUCCCACCCUUACAGCCCAUCAGCCUGCAGUGGGAACUCAGGAGCCUUCCCUCUCUCUGCCCCCGCCUCACUCUGUCUCUCUGUCUCUGUCUCUGUCUGUCUCUCUCUAUCUCUGUCUCUGUCUCUCUCUCUCUCUCACACACACACACACACACACACGCACACACACACACACACAUGCGCAUAUCCUGCAGCCUGCUACACCUGAAAUGUUCCUGUGGCCUGGGCAGCUCACGAGUGGACAGGACGGAGGCUCAGGAGCCCUCCCCUUGCUUCCCAAGCCCUCCUUUUCCAGGGAACAGAGCUGCUGUGAGCUCCUCCUGGCCCUCGAGUGAUGGGAGGGUGUAUCUAAAUCCCAGCCACCCAGCAGCAGGAAGACACGGACAGUCCCCUAAUUCCUGAAGAGGAUUUCUGACCGAGAUUAGGGCGCCUGGCGGAGGAGAGGUGGCAUCUUAGAAGGAGCAAGAAUGCAUGUUACCGAGGAACACCGGCAUGUUACCGAGGAACACCGGCAUGUUACCGAGGAACACCGGCAUUUUACUGAGGAACACCGACAUUCAGAAGAACAAAAGGAGGGAAGCAGGGAACAGAUGGGUGGGUGUUCGGGAGGCUCCUGGUCUCUGUGAGCAGAGCGGGCGGCGCCCUCCCUUUCUGUUUUUGAUGCAUCAGGGUAUGAUAUGAUAUGAUAUGACAGAACAUGUCAAAAACUUAGGGGAAAAUAAAACCCUGGUUUUUUUGAAACAUCAAACUAUUGCUAUCAAUAGGAACAGCAACUGUUCAAAAAUUUGUUUCAGAACUGCCAAGAAGUGAACGUUCAUGAAAAAAAAAGUAUUUCUCCCUGCUGUUUGCAAGGUGGACACAAAUGCAGACGGUAGGAGGUUGACAACUUGACACAUGUCUAAUAAAUCUAAAGCAUAAAAAGUCAACAAUUCACUGUGGAAGAAAGCAUCACUGGAAUAAAAAGUGCUACGCAAAGAAAGAAUAACCAUUAAAAAAUAGAUUUUCUGAAUUCAGUAAGUAAUUUAGCCCUUGGAGCGCCAGCCUUCAAAACAAGGAAGCUUUUUCUUUCUCCCUUUACAAGACAGAGAGACAGAGAGAGGCGAUGUUCAGCUCAGAAGGAGGGGCUGCUGCAUUAGAAAUGAGCCAGGUGAAAAGCAGCGUCCAUUGAGCAGAUGUGAGGCUCCAAGGGGCUGCUGACCGGGUCAGAGUGCAGAGCCUUCCAGAUCCCAGCUGCUCUGCAGCUCAAAGCAGGAGUGGGUUUAAUUUGACAAGUUGGUCCAGUUACAGGGAAUUCACAGAUCAUAGUCAAUGCCAAGCAGAUUUGGCCACCAACAGCCUGUCUGCUGCUGGCCAAGAGAUGGCAGUUGGAAAACCGUCUCUGCUGUCCAACCACUUGAAUACAGACAGAGAGGCAGAGACUCAAGCGAGGGCUGCAGGAGCCUUGCUGAGUGUUUAAGAAGAGAAAAGAAAGAAUGAAUCAUGUUCUUAAUAUCAAAAUAAUUAAGGAUUUUGUUUUAACCAGUUUUCCCAAGCUCUGAAUGCUCUUUUCUUCCCCACCAUGAUGAGAAUGGUGCAGAAGAUUGUAAAUGAAUCUGAAAACAAAUGGUAAUUCUUAUGCAAGUCUCACGUAAACAAAAAAAAAAAUAUCAGCAUUAAAGUUAUGAAUCCUAAUUUGUGCCACGGAGCUAAAAUCUGUAUCUUUCUGAAUUCGAGGGAUAUAGACAUACAGCACGGGGUAGCAUCUCUGUGCAGUUCAGAAAACUGACACAGUCUCUCCAAUUUAUGGGGAAAUUGACAUAAUUUUGCAAAAAUGCAAACCCAUUUGUGAACUGGGUUUUGCAUAAUGGGAUUAAUUUGGUUGACUGUCAUAUCCACUGUGCUGCAAAAGGCAAGUUAAUCACAACAUCAUCCUGAGUUUUUUAGAGAAGAAAGAGAAAGGAAGAAAGAAAGGAAAGGUAUUUCUCCCCCUUGCCUGACUAUCUUUUCAUUAAGAGAAAAUACCCAGUCUCUGGGAGGCACCUUAGGUGGCUUCAGGAAGCAACGCUAGACGAAUUCAGCAUGGAUGCCGCGUGAAUGGAGCCGACUGGCCUGCCUCCAACGAGAAAAAUUAACAGCUUUCACAGGAGCAAGAAAAAUUGCUUCCAAGGGAAGUCCACACUUUAUGCCUGGGUGCACGGACACAUUUGCUCAGAAUGCUACUGUACCUGGAGCUGAGGCUGGAGGACACGAUUUGUCACCACACUCGGUUGUUCAACCUGGUCUUCAUGGACCUGCUUUCCGCCCACAGCAAGAGUCCGCCUGCUCUGAGAAGGCAGAGUGUGACUGCAGCAGUCCACAUCGUUGGGGUGCGCAGUGGCAACAAAUAGCCCCAAAGUCCCAGGGGCCAACCACAGCCUUUACUUCUUCCCAUUACCCGUCCACACAAGAGAUAGCAAGAGCGCUGCCUGCAGUCCCAUGGAGUCCCCAGCCCCAGUCCCGCUAGGCUUGGGGAAAGCUCAGUCGGGAGGAAGGGCCCCCAGGGGUGUGGGGAACAGCCAGCUCUGAAGCCCCCAGGUCAGGGCCCUUCUAUUCACUGCAUGGCCUUGGGCAAAGUCAGCCUUCGGGCUGCCCCACCCUUAGAGGAGCCAGAGGAUUGGGAACUGGCUAGCGCUGCCACACCUCUGCCUGCACCCCCUGAGGACUGAGGGUGCAGCAGACUCUCCUUGCCUCCUUCUGUGGGACAGGCGACAUCUGGAGGGACUCAGGGCAGGAUGGCCAAUCAGCUCAACCAGCAGCGACCCGGAGCAGCCCCUGACCUGAGAGGGAGACGAGUCCUCAUGGGAAGGGCACACAGCAGAGGCUGGUAGCAGUCACAGCUGAACUCAGAUGCUACCAGGUGAAGCCAAACACGGCCAGGACCACCGGGAAUGGGCAGCGGGGGCCUGCAGGGAGUUCCAGGAGGAGCCCGUGGGGCCAGGCCGAGGCCUUCCCACCUUGCCCCGCAGGCUCCAGCACUGGUGGACACGGCGUGGCCCAGGGGCAGUGAGCAUCAGGGAGCUGCCCUGGGAAGUGCGGCAGAUGGCCCUGGGGUGCUGCUGCUCUGGACCAGACAGGGCGGCUGACCUCCCUGAGCUCUGAGGCCUCGCCAGGGAUGACUGUGGCAGAGGAACCUUCCAGGAGCCUGGGUUCCAGAGCAGGACAAUGCUCUGGUCCUGGCUCUGGGAAGUGCUCCGGUGGCCUGGGCCUGGGCUCCCCUGUGUACCAUUCUGCUCUGUGGUCUGCCUGUGCCGACCCCAUCCAUGUCUGCAAGGCUAAGGGAUGGCACUGUGAAGGGUCUCCAGUGUAGCUUUGCUCAAUACACAGUGAUCGUUGUUAGUGCAAGUGCUUCAUAGCCCUUUUAAGGACGUGACCGAUAAUUCAUUAUGUAGACACCUACUGGGGGCUUCUCAGCUGACCGCGAUUCACCCAGGAGCCCAUCCUUCCUCUGCCCUUGCCCUUUGGGAUGUGGAUGACUUACUGGGAGGUGGCUGGGUGCUUUCUCCUAUGAAUAGGCAUGGGACAGGGCCCCGGUGGAGACACAUCACUUCGGUGGCCUGUCCACAGUUCUGCUGAGGUUUGCUGAACUGCCCCACUGCCAGGACCAGGCUGGCCCCUGGGCUCUACAAACCACCCCAGUGUCCUCUCAGCCUUCCCUCUUGAUGGGGAAGCAGCAGUGGCCUGCACCGUCUUCCAAGGUAGCACUCCGCCUCUCGGGAGAGAGGACACUCAUUCCUCAGUGUGGCCUGCAGGCCAGAGUGGCUGAUGAUCAACUGGAGUUUUCUCCUAAUGUGUGCAGUCCUGAGUCAGCGAACGUGCAGAGCAGGGGCUCAGGUUAAGACCCAGACCAGACACGCACCCUGCCCACUUGCUCUCACCUCCAUCUGGAGAACCAGCCUCUGACUAUGGCUGCCACAAGGAAGCUGGGAGCUGUAGUCUGAUUUGUGGUCAGAAAGAAGGGGAGGCCAGAUCUUGGGACCUCUCUAUCUCUUCAAGUGCCUAAGACAUGGUUCCUGUGUUAUAGCAAUUUCUUUUACUACUCGAUUUAUUUUAAAUUCAGAUUGUGUUACGUAAUGUAAUACCUUUAUUCUAUGCUACAAACACACACUACCAAACAUCAACACAGAGAGGUCUUGACACAGACUAAGAUUUAGAAGAUACUGAUGCUUACGGUCUACCUGGGGGGGACUGAGUCACCACCUAAAUAUGCAGAUAUUAAAAAGUUCCCAGCCCCAGUAGCCAUGGGCACCCUGAGCACCCAAGAUGUGGUAGCUAAUCCCACCUUUAAUGGAAGCAGUCAGUUCUGUGGAGAAAUGGCGGGUUCUGGGACUGGGGCAGGAGGUCCAUGAGAUGAGCCUGGAACAUCUCCCAGCAGGAGGUAAGCAAGUGCUUAAAGAAACCCACACACCACCGUGGCAGGGAUGAGAAAGGGCACAGCGGAUGAAGCUAGGUCCAAGAAGUAUUGGGAUACAUCUGAAAGUGCCAAAUAGUUCUCCUUGGAGAUGUAUAAGCAAUUAAAUGAGGAAAAGACAAAUCUCUCACAUAGAAUUCCAGAUAAUGUAUGUGCAUGCUUCACCCUUGAAGGUCGAACCGAGGUGCCCACUCCAUCAGCACAGGCUGCUCCCAAGGACUUCCUUCCAAAGAGUAAAGCUUCAGAAAGGGAGGGAGGGUUCCGGAACUGGAGAAGCCUGACAGGUCUGCUCAGGUGGAGGGGAAGGUCAGCAGCAGCGCUGUUGGUCGCGCUGCGGUAUGCACCCUCCACGUGCGGUACUGACCUCUGUGGAUGGCUCCAAAACGCAAGUGCAGGCCAGCACGAGAGAGCCUCCCCACUCCAAGGGAAGCGUAUUCUACAGUGUUCCUGGUGGUCUUCUGAGUCGUCAAGGUGGCCAAGCAGCCUGAGAAAGCAUAAUAGCCAGAGGGACCCUGGGUGCUCAAAGUAGCCCAGUGCCCGGGAUGGGGCCUGGGACAGAAAAUGGGCUUCGGCAGGAGCGGAGGCAAUCCAGAGGAAGCGGGGCUUCAGCUGGUGGCAGGGCCUCCAGGCUUCUCCGUGAAUUCACAGGAAAAUGAGGUGGGAAUAGAGGGGAACUGGGUGUGGGGACUCCCACUGUCUGUGCAAUUUCUCUGUCAAUUUAAUUAGUUUAAAAAUAAAAGUU